Molecule: ribosomal RNA, 471 nt
Filed under: Betaphycus gelatinus
Lineage: Eukaryota; Rhodophyta; Florideophyceae; Gigartinales; Solieriaceae
Description: SSU rRNA
Rfam family: Eukaryotic small subunit ribosomal RNA
Source: RNAcentral
AUGCAGUGUAGUAUGAGUGAAUUGUACAACGAAACUGCGAAUGGCUCGGUAAAACAGCUAUAGUUUCUUCGGUGGUAAAUACUACUUGGAUACCCGUAGUAAUUCUAGAGCUAAUACAUGCCACAAAAGCGGCGCUUGCGCCGUGGUAUAAAUUGGAGAUACAAGCCAAUGUUUGGUGAUUCACGAUUUCUUUUCUGAUUGCACACAUCGUGUGCGACGCACCGUUCAAAUUUCUGACCUAUCAACUUUGGAUGGUAAGGUAUUGUCUUACCAUGGUUGUGACGGGUAACGGACCGUGGGUGCGGGACUCCGGAGAGGGAGCCUGAGAAACGGCUACCACAUCCAAGGAAGGCAGCAGGCGCGCAAAUUACCCAAUCCGGACACCGGGAGGUAGUGACAAGAAAUAGCAAUAGAGGGCCCAACGGGUUUCUAAUUGGAAUGAGAACAAGGUAAACAGCUUACGAGGAGCCC